AGAAACCAUUGGUAAUUUUAAAGUAUCAAUAUAAGAUAAAGCAAAUAAAUAGAAAUGUAGCCAAUCAUGUGGGAAUUUCCAUAUCAUUACAGAAUUUAAAUUAAGCAGUAAUUCCUUAAGUCAAGGGAAACAAUUUGAGUAUGUAAUACUUUAAAUACCAUGGUAAUGAUUAAUGGAAAAAUAAAAGGACAAAAUGAAAAGUAUUAGAAAAUACAGAGAAAGAAAUGUAUGAUACUAAUGCAAACAUGUUCUUAAAAGAAAAACACAAAACUCAAAAGGCAUAAAACAGAACAUUAUUGUAUUUCAAUACACAACUUUUGUACAACCAAAAAAUAAAACACCACAGUAAAAUGAUGCCGAAAAGAAAACAUGGUAUUUCACUUGCAAUGCAUGACAUAUGGUUAACAUCUUUAGUUAUAAAUGAGCUUUUAGAAAUGAGCAACAAAGACACUCAUACUCCAAGGGAAAUGGAAAAAAACAAAAAGCAGAGGAAAAUGAAAUAACACAAAUGACUAGUAAGGAUUAAGGAUAUACGAAGAUGAUGGAGACAAACAAGAGAAGAAAAAAAGCAAUUUCUUCGUAAUAUCGCAUUGUUAACGAUUAAAACACUGACAUCUAACAUGUGUACCAUUUUACGAAACAGAACUCUCAUGAACAAACACUGGGAGACAAUAGUGAUGAGGACUCUCUCUCUAUGAUUAGGGGGAAAGCUGUAGUUUUGACUCAAAACAUAAAUUUUUGGACAUCCCUAGUCCUAGCAGUUCCAAUUCUCUGAAAUUAUCAAAAUAAUUUAUCUGUAUGCCUUUUUACGGCAUAGAAAAUUUAUAGACAUAAUAUGGGCCAAAAAGAGAGUUGCAUUAUCAAUCUGUUUAUCAACACACCCCAAAAAGAUGUGCACAAAACUACACUGACAGUAGAUAACGCUGGAGAAUAGAAUUAUGAGGGGAAAAGGGCAUGAGUUAAAAAUACCAUACUUCACAAAUUUCUAUACCUUUAAAAUCUUGAACAAGAUGAUUUUUUAUGAAAUAAUUUUAAGUUGAUCCUGUGAUAAGUGAAAAUUAUAAAUACAUGCACUUAAUACUUAUGGGAACACUGAAAUGAAGCCUUGCAAUUACACCAUCCUGAGAUUCUGUGUAAUAACGUCUCUGGCAUUCAAGCUCCUGAGAUUUAGUCCAAUGGCAACAAUGAAAACUGUCAACAGGCCUGGUUACAAUUCUCUCCAAUUACACUCUUUAGAUUACUUUAAAACAUGAGCUUUCUCAGUCCGGUUUUUCUGAUCUGCAAGGAGUGUCCACUGCAACACACGAAAGAGUCUCCAUACAUUAUGAAGACCAUCUUUUGGUUUGAUGAAGAUGGUGUCAGAAGAAAUGGCAUCAGUUUCCUAUUCAGUCAUCACCUGAGAGGACACAGUGGGAUCAUCAGUAGGAACUAAUAAAAUUUCUAUGUACAAGAAAUGCAACAGGCAUUCUAUGAAGAAAUAACAGGUGGAUCAAAAUUGCUGUUUGAAUUUUAUAAUAGUAAGAAGGCCAGAUACUGUUACUCUUUCUUCUUACACCUUGCUAAAUGGACAUACCUCCUCAUGUUGUCUGUGCCUCUUUUCAAUUACGCAUUUGGUUGCUUAUAUCACUAGAUCACUCUCGUUCAAACAGAAAAUUAUUUCACGCAAUCUACAUGCAUUUCUUCCUAUACAAGCAACAAGAGUGCCUUACCACCAUAGUGAAAAUAACAAAAGGAGAAAAAAUUAACUGCAUUAAAGCUUUGGAAGCUACAACGUAACUUAGAAAAAGAUUUAGCUCCUAACCCAGUAUUCUAGCUGGCUAUCAAAAUUGCUGGGUAGGUACUUCCUCAAAAGUCAUUAAUCUUCAAUUUAGCUAUGAUUUAUCCUAAGGAAAAAAACAUUUUCUGAUUAAAACCUUCACUUUCAAGGUUAUUCCACGGAUAACAGAUAGGCAAUAACACUCUCUGAGAAAGAAUGUUUAAGAAAUUUGUCAUCAUUCACUAUUGGCAGUACAUCCCAUGAAUUACCUUCCUAAAGGACACGAUGGGGAAUGAAGGAAAAAUGAGAAGCACAAAAAUCAUGGUGUGUCAGGAGCUAGCAUUCACUAUUUUUCUAUAAGAUCAUGGUUUCAUUAACAACUGCCCCUCUCACUCUUUUGACAGUUUCACAGCUUUAGUAGUUAUAUUACACAUUUCAGCAUCAGCGUAUUGCACCUGGUUCUUCUCUCUUUUGCAUUCCCCAAACUGACUUUAUCUCAAAAAUCUUGUAAUUUUUUUUCCUUUCUCCACCCCUUAUCUUUUGCCUAAUUUACUCCCAAAGUCAUAAAACAAGUCAGCAAGACUUUAUUCAAUUCCCACAGUGAAUAAGGUUUUUGUUCAAAACUAUCCACGAGAAAUUCAGUCUGUGUGAGAAGUGAUAUUCUGAAAAUCAAUUUAAUAAUUGAUUUAAUAAGGAUACAUGAUUUGAUGAGAACAUUGUGAAAGGACCCAAAAAUGUAAAAGAAAAUACUGAAGCUCCACAGCUCUUAACUACUAUGCCUUCUUUCAUCCAGUCCUACAUGUAGUCUGGGUCUCCAGUUACCUUGGCACUCUCUCACUAUAAGACGGAAUCUCUGCUGGAAUUUGGGCUGGUCAUAUGACACUGCUGGCCAACAGAAUAUGGCGGAAGUGAUGCUACAUGACUUCUGAAGCUAUCAGAAAGGCCACACCACUUUCACAAGGCUCUCUUCUAACACUCAUUCUUACGAUGCUUCCUCUGUGAACCUGGCUGUGUGAAAGUACUCUAGUUGAAAGCCUCCAGUAAGCCCAGCCUUCCACAUCACCACAAACCAAGUGCCAGAUAUGCGAAUGAAGUAGUAGAUGUCUGAAUCUCUCUCAACCACUGGGUCCUUCCCAGUUGAUCCUAUAUACAUUCUGGCACUGUCAGAAAUCUUCACCCACAGAAUCUACGGAAUUAACACAAUAUUUUAUGCCACUAAAUUUCAGGAUAAUUUUUUACUCAGCAAUACAUAACCUGAAAAGAUCU
This 3022-nucleotide long non-coding RNA is filed under the name Equus caballus (horse). Its description in RNAcentral is "lncRNA (ENSECAG00000054673.1)". The record is from RNAcentral. Lineage: Eukaryota; Metazoa; Chordata; Mammalia; Perissodactyla; Equidae.